RNAcentral lists this ribosomal RNA (447 nucleotides) under uncultured bacterium. Its description in RNAcentral is "partial 16S ribosomal RNA". It matches the Rfam family "Bacterial small subunit ribosomal RNA", at positions 29 to 523 of the family's 1533-position model. The record is from RNAcentral.
AACGAACGCUGGCGGCAGGCUUAACACAUGCAAGUCGAGCGCCCCGCAAGGGGGGCGGCAGACGGGUGAGUAACGCGUGGGAAUCUACCGUGCCCUACGGAAUAACGCAUGGAAACGUGUGCUAAUACCGUAUACGCCCUACGGGGGAAAGAUUUAUCGGGGUAUGAUGAGCCCGCGUUGGAUUAGCUAGUUGGUGGGGUAAAGGCCUACCAAGGCGACGAUCCAUAGCUGGUCUGAGAGGAUGAUCAGCCACAUUGGGACUGAGACACGGCCCAAACUCCUACGGGAGGCAGCAGUGGGGAAUAUUGGACAAUGGGCGCAAGCCUGAUCCAGCCAUGCCGCGUGAGUGAUGAAGGUCUUAGGAUUGUAAAGCUCUUUCACCGGUGAAGAUAAUGACGGUAACCGGAGAAGAAGCCCCGGCUAACUUCGUGCCAGCCGCCGCCGUAA